GCAUAUCAAUAAGCGGAGGAAAAGAAACCAACAGGGAUUGCCCCAGUAACGGCGAGUGAAGCGGCAACAGCUCAAAUUUGAAAUCUGGCCCCCGGGUCCGAGUUGUAAUUUGUAGAGGAUGCUUUUGGCGAGGUGCCUUCCGAGUUCCCUGGAACGGGACGCCAUAGAGGGUGAGAGCCCCGUCUGGUCGGACACCGAGCCUCUGUAAAGCUCCUUCGACGAGUCGAGUAGUUUGGGAAUGCUGCUCAAAAUGGGAGGUAUAUGUCUUCUAAAGCUAAAUAUUGGCCAGAGACCGAUAGCGCACAAGUAGAGUGAUCGAAAGAUGAAAAGCACUUUGAAAAGAGGGUUAAAAAGUACGUGAAAUUGUUGAAAGGGAAGCGCCUAUGACCAGACUUGGGCCCGGUGAAUCACCCAGCGUUCUCGCUGGUGCACUUCGCCGGGCACAGGCCAGCAUCAGUUUGGCGCGGGGGAGAAAGGCUUCGGGAAUGUGGCUCCCCCGGGAGUGUUAUAGCCCGUUGCGCAAUACCCUGCGCUGGACUGAGGUACGCGCAUUCGCAAGGAUGCUGGCGUAAUGGUCAUCAGCGACCCGUCUUGAAACACGGACCAAGGAGUCGUCUUCGUAUGCGAGUGUUCGGGUGUCAAACCCCUACGCGUAAUGAAAGUGAACGCAGGUGAGAGCUUCGGCGCAUCAUCGACCGAUCCUGAUGUUCUCGGAUGGAUUUGAGUAAGAGCAUACGGGGCCGGACCCGAAAGAAGGUGAACUAUGCCUGUAUAGGGUGAAGCCAGAGGAAACUCUGGUGGAGGCUCGCAGCGGUUCUGACGUGCGAAUCGAUCGUCAAAUAUGGGCAUGGGGGCGAAAGACUAAUCGAACCUUCUAGUAGCUGGUUUCCGCCGAA
This 896-nucleotide ribosomal RNA is filed under the name Cordyceps militaris. Its description in RNAcentral is "LSU rRNA". It matches the Rfam family "Eukaryotic large subunit ribosomal RNA", at positions 38 to 965 of the family's 3401-position model. Lineage: Eukaryota; Fungi; Ascomycota; Sordariomycetes; Hypocreales; Cordycipitaceae. The record is from RNAcentral.